This 332-nucleotide ribosomal RNA is filed under the name uncultured eukaryote. RNAcentral's name for it is "partial 18S ribosomal RNA". It matches the Rfam family "Eukaryotic small subunit ribosomal RNA", at positions 1470 to 1796 of the family's 1831-position model. The record is from RNAcentral.
CCCUUAGAUGUUCUGGGCCGCACGCGUGCUACACUGGUGGAUACAGCGAGUCUUAACCUUAACCGAAAUGGUUUGGGUAAUCUUGUGAAAGUUCAUCGUGACAGGGAUUGAUCAUUGCAAUUAUUGAUCAUGAACGAGGAAUUCCUAGUAAAGGCGAGUCAUCAUCUCGCUUUGAUUACGUCCCUGCCCUUUGUACACACCGCCCGUCGCUACUACCGAUUGAAUGGUUUAGUGAGAUCUCCGGAUUGGCUUCCUUGGUACCUUCGCGGGUCCAACGUGAAGCCGAGAAGCUGCUCAAACUUGAUCAUUUAGAGGAAGUAAAAGUCGUAACA